AUUGAACGCUGGCGGCAGGCCUAACACAUGCAAGUCGAGCGAGCGGCGCACGGGUGUGUAAUGUAUGGGGAUCCGCUCGAUAGAGGGGGAUAACUACUGGACACGGUGGCUAAUACCGCAUACUAUAGGAUGACCACAUAUGGGAUUAGGUAGUAGGUGGGGUAAAGGCUCACCUAGGCGACGCUCUCUAGCUGGUCUGAGAGGAUGAUCAGCCACACUGGUACUGAGACACGGCCCAGACUCCUACGGGAGGCAGCAGUGGGGAAUAUUGCACAAUGGGCGCAAGCCUGAUGCAGCCAUGCCGCGUGUAUGAAGAAGGCCUUAGGGUUGUAAAGUACUUUCAGCGGGGAGGCGUUACCCGCAGAAGAAGCACCGGCUAACUCCGUGCCAGCAGCCGCGGUAAUUC
Molecule: ribosomal RNA, 406 nt
Filed under: uncultured bacterium
Lineage: Bacteria
Description: partial 16S ribosomal RNA
Rfam family: Bacterial small subunit ribosomal RNA
Source: RNAcentral